ACAUUCGAAUUAUUAUUUUACUCUUGAAGUAUAUCUUCAUGCUCAAAGCUGUCUUUAACAGGGGAACUGAAGCCAAUACCUUCCCCACAUGAUGCGGUUUGCUCCAAAGCUGGAUACAAUCUGAGAGAGGAGGCGGGACAAAUCCAAGUAUGGAAAUGGCCUUCUUGACACCCUAAAUAGAGCACUGAAUUUCACAUAUAUCUGCCCACAAAUAGAAAUAUAGAUACGAUGAUUUAGGAUGACUCAGAGAUAAAUAUUUCCCCUAUAUCAGUAUCUUGAUUUUGCAAGGGAUGUGCUUUGUUAACAAAGUUUAUACUUUUCAGUUUUCAGUAUGUAUUAUUGUUAUCUGAAUUAACAUUCCAACCUUAAAGUGGAUGUUGAAGGCUCAAUUUGAUUCCCAGGUUUACAGGAGAAGAAACCAGACGAUGUUUCGUCAUAUGAAGUACUUAUCUAAAGACUUUUAAUUUCACUUUUACCUGAGGAAAACUUGCUAGCUCCAAAAGGUGGGCCAGUGCAAGACUGUCUUCUUCAUUUCUGCACAGGGUUGUUAAAAUGCGACAUGGGUUUUAACAAAACAAAUCACUAAAAACAAAUAGAAACCCCAAGUUUGUUUUGUUGACUUACUCUGGGGGUUUGCAAAAACCCAAAUGAUCAAGCAGUACAGUGGUUGAAGGGAACUCUGUACAAAGCUCUUUUAUCUCUUCAACAUGAAGGCUUAGCCCCUGAAAGGAUGUACUCUUGUCAUAUCUAAAUUACUGAUAGGAAGCCUAUUAGGGUACAUUUGAGACUACCUUCAUGCACAUGAAACCCACAGGAAUCCCAAGUUUUCCUGCUGUAGAGAAUAAUGCUUUCCCCACCUCAUUUGUCAUCUGCAAAUAUCAUUGCACGUGUUAGGAAAACAUAUUGAAGUGAAAGUCGGAAGUAGGGAGCAGAUCGGAGCAAUCCGGAUUCAAAAUAAUCACACAGCAACCUUUUGACCUGACGGCCAUAAGUACGGAUUAAAGCGAACAGCGGAGUAUCCAUCCUAUAAGGACAAAGAGAGUACAUCGAAAUCACUUUGCUGAGUUAGGAUAGGAGUAUGUGUUGUUUGUAGGAGACUAGACAAAAAGUCAAAACCUUUGUUACAAGAUGUUCGAGUUGCUGAAUUCCACUUCCAUCAUUGGCUGGAUUUGCUAGGCAACAACCAACGAAUUUGUUUGGAUAUUUAUUUAAUACACUGUCCAUAGAAGAUUUGGAAUGAAGAUGUACUUUGGGAUGUCACAUCAGUAUAGUUUCCUAAACCAUGAGAACAUUUAUUCCCAAAUAGAGAGACUAUCAGAUGAGUUUAAGAUUCUUUUAGUACGAUUUUAAAAUAGAUCACUAGAAGUAUCUUUUGGAGAAACAAGUACUAAGCACCAAAGUGGUUUUAGUUAUAUAUAGGAUUUUGAGAAAUGCAACUAAACAUGUGAACUCUAAAAGGUAGUCAAAAGCACUCUUCCUUACUCCGAAGGAAAAUCUAGUUUUAAAGUGUUUUUCUUUAUUCCAAAGUAAAAUGAGCAAGAUUGAGAUGAUUUUGGAGAAGUUAUGAAACUGCUUCUUUUAUGAUCAUUCUUAGAAACCAAUAUAUUUAUGUCUGGAAGUAAAUGCAUUCACCAAAUUAGAUUAACGUCACAAACUAUUUGGAUUCAUGCUUAGACACUUCUAAAUGUAAUGCGCAAGCUUAACCUAAUUGAAAUAGAAACAUUAUUUUUGCAUCAUGGUUCAAGGCAUGUGGCAUAUCCUGAACAUCUAACAUGCUUAUGAUAAAUAGCUCUCAGGACUGACCUGGUCACAUAAGAGUGAUCAAAUUUGUGGUUGAUUGGCUGGACAAUAAGUGCACCAUCUACUCCUGCUUCUUCCAUAGACUGAUAGGGGAGAGUAAAUGUUAGCGUUUGUUUUUAAAUAUAGCUUCCUUAUGGUAAACCAAAAAAAUGGAACACUGCCAAACUAACAAACUAUUGAUAUUCGAAAAUGGUGAUUACUUCAUAUGGGGUCAGGAAUAAAUCUUGGAAUUUAACAUUGAGUUGGACUAACUGAAAGUAUGGACUGCAGUUACCCUAAAUUGGACCACCGUCGUGUUCAUCAUCAUUGUCAUAGAUAUAUAUCAUUUAAGUGGCUCACGGAAACUACCUUCUUCACAACUCCACAAUAGGCAUAACAUAAUUUUAUCCGUUCAGUCGAAACCCUUUUGAUAUUACUUUUAGUUUUACCCAGAAGGGCCUCAUAUGAAAUGCUAUUAUUUGCUUAUAUAUCGCUAACUCCCCUUACAUCUACGACUACGUUUGCAUUACAGAAGAUGGGUCAAAGCCUAAAUUAGAGAAUUAAAUUGAAGGGAGAUACCUGAAGCAAGAAAUCAACAUGCCCAGUCAAGGUGGGUUCUUGGCCAGGAAAGUAAGGGUAUUUUGCAGCAGCCUUGAGAACGAUGAGUGAGUCAGGAUUUGAUGCUUAUACAACAAAGAUUGGAGGGAUUUUGACAAUAUUAUACACAAAAGAAUGAAUGAUCUAAUUUUACCUCUUCAGGAGAUGCCCAGACAUGGAGAUGUGAAUCGAUAACUUUGCCGUAAGAAGAAGAAGAAGAAGCCAUUCUGAGUUUGAAAUUUGGGUUGGUGUUGAUGGAUUGAGAUGCAAAUAUUGCUGCAGAAGAUGGGAAUGCCAAUGAGGGGAAAUGAAGAGAGGGAAGAGAAGAUGGGAGUGAAAGAAGUUUGAGCCUCGCCACCACUGCCAUUUGAGAUAAUGGUUACGGUAAGGGUGUAGUAGGGCGCAUGCCACGCGUGGUUCUUUUAAGAGUUCUUUGGUAAGGACAUGCUUUCACCCAAUCCAUUUAGUUCAUAUUAUUAAUCUAAUUGGCCACUUACAUUUUUAUUUUUGGUAAGAUUCCUACUUGAUUAGUAUUUAGUAACUAAAUGUUAAAUGAAGUUCCCAUUUGUAUAGAGUUGUUGAUGCCACCUUAGGAGAGUUAUUGAGCAUUUUUUGGGGCUUUAGGAGUGAGUUGAGGUGAGCCAUCUCUUUGGGCUUUAGGGGUGAAGCUGGACACUGUUUUUGAGUUUGGAAGGCUUAAGUGUUAGUUUGGUUGUAUUUUUGGAGGUUUAGGGUUAGGCACUUUGAGUCCACUUUAGGUGUCAAUAGAGGUUUCUAUUUUAUUGAGCAUCUAACAGAGGUUCGAAAACGUCUUUCUUUGAUAAUCUUAUUUGAAAAUUUCUUGUGAUUGUUAGAUGUAGACUACCACUUUUCUUACAUCAAAUUGGUUAUUUAAGCGCUUAUAAAGUCAAUCCGAACAUACAAUAUGUCUAUUUCUUCUCGAUUUUUUACCAUGAUUUUUGUUUGGUGUAAGUAAAAGAGUUGAGUUCUAAACUAAAUUUAAAAAAAAUAAACAAUUACUUAUUUAUUUUCAAAACGAUGGUUGGUUUGUUCGAUAUGUGUAUUUGAAAAUGUCUAAAAAAAAUUAUCAAACACAAAAUAACUCUUUGCAAGGACUCAACAUUUAAGUUUGUACGUUUUAAGUAUGAAUGAAGUAUAUGAUCCAAGUCAUGAUGAUGCAUGACAAUUUAAAUGAAGACAGUAGAAGAGUUGUAACUCAAACUUUUUGGUUGAUGACUACCAGUCAAGUGGCCUACAACCUACACACGACAUGUCUCGAUUCACAAUAUAGAAUCCAUGACCUACCACUCUCAAAGUUUUAGGUAAAAUUUGACCACCCUUUCAUCAAUACCCCACUUCUAGGCUACAUUAUUAACAAAUAUAUUGGUGACUCGUUUUGUUAUUUUCAACAACACACAUCUUCAUCCCUAACACUUGAAAGGGUUAAAAGUAUUUAUUGCAUUUUGAUAUAUAUACUUGCUCAACAAUUCAUACAAAAUUGAAAUCAAAUUAAUAGUUAAUAUUUGAACUAUAUAUCAAAACACUGCUACAACUUUAAUUAAGAGGUUAAAACUCAACUAAAAAGAAUGCAUCCAACCCAACAUUAUUAUACCUAAUGAAGAGAGCACUACCACUCUCUUUUCUAGCUUCAAAUAUCAACUCUAGUUUUUCUAAAUAGAUAUCAUGGUCCGAUAUAUAUAUUUUUAAUCGUAUUUAAAAAAAAAUCAAUUUAAGAUUUGAAAACUAAAAGAAGAUAGUUUUUAAAAAACUUAUUUUUAUUUUUAAAAUUCGUUUAAAUAUGCAAGUUCUCUGUAAGAAAAUAAAAUGACAUAGCUUAUUUCUCAAAUAGUUAGUAAGGCCUAAAUUAACAUUUGAUUGAAGUUGAAUAUAAAUAUAAUAAAAAGAUUAAUUGGGAAUCUAAAAUUUGGUUAAAAUAUUUAAAAAGGUAAAAUCAUAAACGUGAAGGUUAAAAAGAGUUUGUAUAGAAAGGUUAAAACGAGAAUUAAUAAAGAAAAUGGAAAGAUAUUAAUUGGAGAAAAUGAAAAAAAAAAUGAAAAAAGAGAUGGAGAUGGUUGGGGGGAAGAAGAGGAAGAGAAAGAAAAAGAAGGGCUGAUAAGAUGAUGCCACGUGUACAAAGAAAUUGCGUUGCUAUGAACAAAGCAACCAACCAAGAUUUGGGAAAGCGACCCAACCAACAUAACCAUCUCUUCUCUCUCCCUUUCCCCUUUUUACCAAAUUUCAAUCCAUUUUUUCACUUCCCCUUCUUCCUUCCCACUUCCUAUCUAUCAUUCAACCCAUCCACAAUUCCACGCUUCUCUCCUCUAUUCUUCUCAUCCUUAUAUAAUAUCAUCAUUAUUACUUAACCUACAUUAAGGUAUACCUUAUAUGUAUAUAUAUAAAAGACUAAACACGUGCUUUGACAUUUAAAUUGAUGUCACAUGCUAACGUUAUGUUUUUUUUAUUCAUGUGAAAAGAUGGUUUUUUAAAUUUGUUGAUUUUUUAUUAGGGAAGUUCUUACAUCAUUCCUUUUAAGUCAAGGCCAUAUUUGCGUUUGAACAAUAAUAAGAUUUAUGUGCAUUAAACUAAAAGGUGAGAGUAUUUACAUUCAUUAUCAUUGUACAAGUUAGAAUCUAACUGAAGCAAAUAUUUGAUCAUCAAGCAAAUGUCUCAAUAUCAACAACCAUUGAUUUGAAACUCUGCUGUAUUACUGAAGGAUGAUUCUAAUAUUUACAUCAACUCCCUCUUCCA
RNAcentral lists this long non-coding RNA (5124 nucleotides) under Cucumis sativus (cucumber). RNAcentral describes it as "long non-coding RNA (CSAT_LNC001384)". The record is from RNAcentral. Lineage: Eukaryota; Viridiplantae; Streptophyta; Magnoliopsida; Cucurbitales; Cucurbitaceae.